This is a long non-coding RNA of Vespa velutina, 1263 nucleotides long. RefSeq lists it as uncharacterized. The transcript is spliced from 3 exons. Lineage: Eukaryota; Metazoa; Arthropoda; Insecta; Hymenoptera; Vespidae. The record is from RefSeq and is a predicted model, not a curated record.
AUUGCUGGCAACGUACCAAUUUUCUUUCCUCAGAGUGAAAGCAGAUUUCGAGAUGCGACUUCGGCCUCGCUACACCAUCCGUUGCAACAACGAUAGGUGCGAUAAAUGCAAUUAUUUACGCUCGAUUAAGAACACACUUCGUCGAAAGCGCGAAGGGCCGCGAGGCGAACGAGAGCAAAGAUCAGAGGGACGAGAGUAUUGUGCGAUGAGGACGAACGAGAGAUGAUAUAUCUUUGAUUCUAUAAAUACUUGGCAGUAAGUAGAAGCCGCCGUCCUCCUUCUCGAAGUCUCCAUACCGUCGUUAUACCGUUCUUUUACACCUUGCACGAGUAAAGAUUUCCGAUGGUAUCGUAUUCGAACGUAGCUUCCAACGGUGGUCCAUACCGAAUUUCAUUGGCGUGUGGGAAUUGAUGCAUCGCCAUGUACAAGAAUAAUUCACUAUCGUCUGUCUCUUCGCGUCGAAGUCCUGCUUAAGAAAUAUUCCAGUCGCGACCCACACACAAUGCUGCUGAGAAAAGCAGCGCGUUUACGAGAGAAGGGGGACAGUCGUGUGUACUUACUUACAACGAGUUAUAAGAGACGACGUGGUUAGUGUAUAUCAAGAGAGAUAAAGAGAAAGAGAGAGAGAGAGAGAGGAAGUUUUCGAAAUAAAUCACGGAACUAGGCACAACAGGUGUACGGAUUGCCUCACGAUUCAGGUUCUUCUCUCUCUCUCUCUCUCUCUCUCUCUCUCUUUCUCCGUUUCUCUUUCUCUCUUUUGUACAUCUCUCUCUCUUUCUCUCUCUCUCUUUGUAUGCGACACUAGAGAAAAGGAGGAGGAUCCAUACUUUAGAGUCCAUUCUCGUAUGCUUACACGCAGUACGCGAGCAUACUUUUCCUGAAUCACCAAAUAUGUUCCGUCGUCUUAAGAAAAAUAUGUAAGCAUCGUGCCGCUGAACAUAAGCGAUCUUUCUUUCGUGGCUUGUAAGACCUACACCUAUGUACUUUCCAUCUUAUUCAACUUGACUAUUCACUUUGAUGACUUUCUUUUAUCAAGAAUAUUAUUCUCGAAGUUGUUCCAUGAUUUUUCUUCUCUCUUUUGUUUUAUUCUUCCUUCCUUCGUUCAGUAAUAAUUAUUACAAAAUCAUAUGGGAAUAAAUCAUGCGCCAGGAAGCUAUCAAUUUUUUCCAAACCUUUCUUUAUGUGAUUCUAUGAAACACAACCCUUAAACCGAAACCAUCGAUUUUCAAUUCGAUUUUCUUUCUUUUCUUUCUUUUUUUUCUC